This 816-nucleotide ribosomal RNA is filed under the name Triticum aestivum (bread wheat). RNAcentral's name for it is "partial small subunit ribosomal RNA". The record is from RNAcentral. Lineage: Eukaryota; Viridiplantae; Streptophyta; Magnoliopsida; Poales; Poaceae.
AUGGAGACGAAGAGGAGAACGGGGAAGUAGGGGUCCGUCCCCGGCGACGGCACCAUCGCUCUCGAGGCGCUGGACUGCACCGUCUGCUACCACCCGCUCAGGCCUCCCGUCUUCCAGUGUGCGGUUGGGCAUGUGAUCUGUUCGUCUUGCCACCACAAGCUCAAGAACAAGAACAAGUGCCACGCUUGUGUCACCACCGGAGGCUACAACCGUUGCAUAGCGAUCGACCACAUCCUGGAGUCUGUCCAUGCCCCUUGCUCCAACUCCAUAUACGGUUGCACCGUCAAGACGCGUUACCUCGAGCGACAGGAACACGAGAAGUCAUGCCCACUUGCACCGUGCUUGACCACCCAGCUCCUUCACCAUCUCACUAACGAUCACAAUAUACCAGUUACAGAGUUUCCAUCCGGAUGGUGUCUCACCCUCGAGAUACAAGUACAACAGAGUAUGCGGGUUCUCCACAUGAAAGAAGAAGAAGGCGGCCCCAGGUUCCUAGCUAAGUUCACACCAGUGCUGACUUUUGGCAAUGUUGUCUCCAUCUUGUGCGUUGAUCCUCAUGCCGUGCCGGGGGAGCACAAGUUCAGGUGUGAGGUUGAUUUCUACUGCAACACCCUGGGUUUGCGACAGCUUUCAAAUUUCCAGAUUGUAAGCACCAGUCUUUCAGAUGGCUUCCCAGCGGAGCUUGGCAGCAACCCAUUUCUUGUGCCAACAGGUUCUUCUAACUCUCCCACUACCAGCAGCAGCCUCACCAUCCGCAUUGCAAAGAUAAUCCAUGACAGGCCAAUAAGUGACCGGCGUUGGAAAUCAAGAUCGUAG